RNAcentral lists this ribosomal RNA (618 nucleotides) under Rhamphomyia insignis. Its description in RNAcentral is "12S ribosomal RNA". The record is from RNAcentral. Lineage: Eukaryota; Metazoa; Arthropoda; Insecta; Diptera; Empididae.
GUGCCAGCAACCGCGGUUAUACAAAGGAUACAAAUAAAUAUUAUUAGUAAAAGUUAAAUUAUUUUAUUGAAAAUAAAUAUAAUUUUAUUAGGUGAAAUUUUAAAAUUAUUAUAUUUUUAUUAUGAAGUUAAUUGAAGCUUAAAAAUUUUAGAUUUAAACUAGGAUUAGAUACCCUAUUAUUUAAAAUGUAAUUAAUUUACUAGAGUAGUAAUAGUUAUGUUCUUGAAACUUAAAAAAUUUGGCGGUAUUUUAGUCUAUUCAGAGGAACCUGUUCUAUAAUCGAUAAUCCACGUUGGACCUUACUUAAUUUUGUUUUUCAGUUUAUAUACCGCCGUUAUUAGAAUAUUUUAUAAGAAAAAAUAAUUUUCAAUAUUUUUAAUAAAAAUUAAUGUCAGGUCAAGGUGUAGCUUAUAAUUAAGUAAGUAAUGGGUUACAAUAAAUUUAUUUAUGUGAAUUUAGUAUUGAAAUAUAUUAAUGAAGAUGGAUUUGAUAGUAAAAUUUUAUAGAUUAAAAAUUUGAUUUUAGCUCUAAAAUAUGUACACAUCGCCCGUCGCUCUUAUUAUUAAGAUAAGAUAAGUCGUAACAUAGUAGAUGUACUGGAAAGUGUAUCUAGAAUGA